UACAGAGGGGGCAAGCGUUGUUCGGAAUUACUGGGCGUAAAGGGCUCGUAGGCGGCCAACUAAGUCACACGUGAAAUCCCCAGGCUUAACCUGGGAACUGCGUGUGAUACUGGAUGGCUUGAAUUCGGGAGAGGGAUGCAGAAUUCCAGGUGUAGCGGUGAAAUGCGUAGAUAUCUGGAGGAACACCGGUGGCGAAGGCGGUUCUCUGGGCAUGUCCUGACGCUGAGGAGCGAAAGUGUGGGGAGCGAACAGG
Molecule: ribosomal RNA, 253 nt
Filed under: uncultured bacterium
Lineage: Bacteria
Description: partial 16S ribosomal RNA
Rfam family: Bacterial small subunit ribosomal RNA
Source: RNAcentral